Molecule: ribosomal RNA, 440 nt
Filed under: uncultured Novosphingobium sp.
Lineage: Bacteria; Pseudomonadati; Pseudomonadota; Alphaproteobacteria; Sphingomonadales; Sphingomonadaceae
Description: partial 16S ribosomal RNA
Source: RNAcentral
GACUACACGGGUAUCUAAUCCUGUUUGCUCCCCACGCUUUCGUACCUCAGCGUCAGUACUUGUCCAGUUAGUCGCCUUCGCCACUGGUGUUCUUCCGAAUAUCUACGAAUUUCACCUCUACACUCGGAAUUCCACUAACCUCUCCAAGACUCUAGCUAUCUAGUUUCAAAGGCAGUUCCGGGGUUGAGCCCCGGGCUUUCACCUCUGACUUGAAUAACCGCCUACGUACGCUUUACGCCCAGUAAUUCCGAACAACGCUAGCUCCCUCCGUAUUACCGCGGCUGCUGGCACGGAGUUAGCCGGAGCUUAUUCUCCAGGUACUGUCAUUAUCAUCCCUGGUAAAAGAGCUUUACAACCCUAAGGCCUUCAUCACUCACGCGGCAUUGCUGGAUCAGGCUUUCGCCCAUUGUCCAAUAUUCCCCACUGCAGCCACCCGUAGG